UACGGAGGGAGCUAGCGUUGUUCGGAAUUACUGGGCGUAAAGCGCACGUAGGCGGCCAUUCAAGUCAGAGGUGAAAGCCCAGGGCUCAACCUUGGAACUGCCUUUGAAACUAGAUGGCUAGAAUCCUGGAGAGGCGAGUGGAAUUCCGAGUGUAGAGGUGAAAUUCGUAGAUAUUCGGAAGAACACCAGUGGCGAAGGCGACUCGCUGGACAGGUAUUGACGCUGAGGUGCGAAAGCGUGGGGAGCAAACAGG
RNAcentral lists this ribosomal RNA (253 nucleotides) under uncultured bacterium. Its description in RNAcentral is "partial 16S ribosomal RNA". It matches the Rfam family "Bacterial small subunit ribosomal RNA", at positions 524 to 776 of the family's 1533-position model. The record is from RNAcentral.